UUUUUUUUACAAUUAAACACUUAGUAGCCAAAAUAUCAAGAAUUUGUAUAGAAAGCUCUUAAAAAUAUCAAGAACUUUUUGAUCUAUAAAAAUGGUCCCCAAAAUUUGGAUAUAUAAAGCGAGAUAACUCUAACACUUAAUUUAGCUGAAAUUUAGAUUUGUCUCCCUGUGAUGUCUCUUGCGUCUUGACAGAAUCUGAACUCAAAAUGUGCAUCAUGUUAUUCUCCUAUUUUUUUAACUGGUUAUUAUUUAUCAUAAAAUGAUUAUAUUGAUUGAUAUGUAUAUAAAUGCUGCAUAUUUUAGACUGUCACUUUUGCAUGCAAAACCAAAGAUUUAGCCCUUCAUUCGGAAGAAGAUAUGUUUUAAUAGAAUUUAUAAAUCUG
RNAcentral lists this long non-coding RNA (383 nucleotides) under Mytilus galloprovincialis (Mediterranean mussel). The record is from RNAcentral. Lineage: Eukaryota; Metazoa; Mollusca; Bivalvia; Mytilida; Mytilidae.